GAAGGUAAUAGAAGACAUUCCAUGUUAUUUUAGUUGACUUGAAUCUUCACUAAUGAGUUUUCUGAGUUGUUUUUUUAUUGUUUACCUGUUGAGCAGGGUCUUGUUGAUUCUGAUACUCUGCCUCUCAAUGUGUCACGAGAGAUGCUGCAAGCCCACAGCAGUUUGAAAACAAUCAAGAAAAAACUCAUCAGGAAAGCCCUUGAUAUGAUUUGUAAAAUUGCCGAGGAGGAUCCUGAUGAGUCGAGUGGAAAAGAUGAGAAAGGUAUUGUAUAUUGAUUUCGUAUAGAAUUAAAUUUAAUUUGCUAGUACUUCUCCGCUAGACUUGGCCUACCACUAGCCUUUGACAAUGAAACUAUUCUAUUCCAACUUAUUUCUGGGUGAAUAUUGAUACUGAAUAUGAUGGGGAUGCAGAAGUGGAAACAUCUGGUGAUGAUGAUGAGAAAAAGGGACAAUACACCAAGUUCUGGAAUGAAUUUGGAAAAUCCAUUAAACUCGGCAUCAUUGAGGAUGCAACCAAUAGAAAUCGCUUGGCAAAACUCCUUCGAUUUGAGAGGUAUUUAACUUUGUAUAUGGUAUUUAGGCAUGAGCAUUGUAUUGGUAAAAUCAAGAAACCGAACUGAACUGAUUAGUUUGAUUGGUUUAAAAGCGUCAAAUUUCAGUUGUGUGUAAAACCAAGCAGCAUUAUUUGGAUUAGUUUGGAUCCUGAAACUUAAAAACAAGUAUUUGGCCUUGAUUUGUUUUUCCUUUUAGUCGAGUCCAAACAGAAGCAUUCUUUGCACAUGAUAAUCACUUUUCUGCUAGUAACUAAUGAGUAAUGGUGUAUGAAUUGCAUUGCAGCACCAAGUCGGAUGGUAAAUUGACAUCACUUGAUCAGUACAUCUCAAGGAUGAAAUCCGGACAGAAAGAUAUAUUCUACAUUACAGGAACCAGCAAGGAACAAUUAGAAAAAUCUCCUUUCUUGGAGAGGCUUAAGAAGAAAAAUUAUGAGGUAACUGCUAAAGCAUUCCGAACCAACUUUUCUCAUCUGCCUUUUUACUUAAUUUAUAUCUCUUUUUCAAUCUGUGCUUGGGUUCUAAUGACCUUUGUUGUUUCCAGGUAAUUUUCUUCACUGAUCCUGUUGAUGAGUACCUGAUGCAAUACCUUAUGGAUUAUGAGGGAAAGCAGUUCCAAAAUGUAUCCAAGGAGGGCCUGAAAAUCGGGAAAGAAAAGAACAAAGAACUCAAGGAGUCAUUUAAGGAACUAACUAAAUGGUGGAAGAACGCACUUGCUAGUGAUAAUGUUGAUGAAGUGAAAAUAAGCAACCGUUUGGACAACACUCCUUGUGUGGUCGUUACAUCAAAAUACGGAUGGAGUGCUAAUAUGGAGAGAAUCAUGCAAUCUCAAACCCUAUCUGAUUCUAGCAAGCAAGCUUACAUGCGUGGCAAGAGGAUCCUAGAGAUUAACCCAAGACACCCUAUCAUCAAGGAGCUUCGUGAGAGAGUUGCCAAGGACUCUGAGGUACCUAUCUAUAUAUGUAAACAGCAGCAUGCAUGUUUGUUGAGUCGGUAUUCAGUUUUAUUUCAUUUGAUGAAAUCAUUUGGUGGAUCUUACAGGAUGAGGGUGUGAAGCAAACGGCUCUGCUUAUUUACCAGACAGCUCUAAUGGAGAGUGGUUUCAAUCUACCCAAUCCCAAGGACUUUGCUUCACGCAUCUACAGCUCAGUGAAAUCUAGCCUUAAUAUCAGUCCUGAUGCAACAAUUGAAGACGAUGAUGAUGUAGAAGAAACCGAGAUAGAGUCGGAGACAAAAGAAAGUGCAGGCAAAGAUGAGUUGUAGAUUGCCUGAAACCUCGGGGAUAUAUUGCCUGAAACCUCGGGGAUAUAUACUCUUUGAGUUUGUUUUACCCUCUGUAGACAUUCACGAUUGAACUGAAACAUGCAUUUUCAAGUCUGAAACUAGGAUAAAAAGAAAAUUUACGUAGUUCUUUCAUUUCGGGUGUUGAGAAGUCUCAUCGAUUUUGUCUGUGGAAUGUGUUUUUGUUGACAGUAUAUACUGGUUUGCAUGAUUAGCUUGUUUGGAAGGUAUAUUAUGGUGGCUUCUUUUUAAUUUUGAUGACGAUGAUCUGUUUUAGAAGUAAAAGAACAUUCGGUUCUACAUUUAAGAGCACUGUUCUAGGGAUGCCUAGUGCAUUAGGAGUUUCAUUAAUGAUCUUUGAUAUACGUUUGGAGAUCCACUUUGAUUUCGAGUACAUCAUACAAGGCAGUCUUUUCCGUCCCAAGAACUUGUAACACUUUACCUGGCUAAUGGGGGUUUUAGUGAUACUAUACUUCGAUAGUCUGUAGUUGUCUAACAUAUUGUCCUUUCUCAACCAACUUUUCACGACCUCCUUGAACACUCCGAUCAUGGUAGCGCAAGUUCUGUCUAUAUCAUGCCUAUUGGGUACCCAUGUAUCAUGCACUAAAACUCAAAUAGCAAAUGCUUGUCCUCAUUCCAGUGAUAAAGAGGAAGAAAAAACUUGAUUGUAUUGUGUUUUGUUAUCUUUUGAGAGCUUUUAUUACCUCUCUUGCAUCACUCAUCCAAAUGCAUGAAUGGUCAUGGCGGUCAAUAUUUGGAUAAUUGCAUGUUUUCUUUUGUUUUUCUGUGUACAUUUAAAAUCUGCGUUGAAAAUACGGAAUCAAGUAAUUUCUCACUUCUGAUUAAUGGAUUUUCACUGAGCCCAACCAUUCGAACUCCUUGAUGCCUUAUUCUGUAACGAGCUUCAUGCUAUCGUAUUUUUUCUUGCUCGCAACAAAACCCAAAAAUACAUUGAAAACUGAUUCAGACCGUAGUCUUUGGUUCAGUUUUAUUUAAUUUGGUUCGGUUGGUCAAAAUUCACAAAUUAAAAAAUUGUAAUUAUACAAGCUAAAGCGAAUCUUAUUUUUAAUUAAGUUUUUUACCUUGUAAGUGCGAUUGUAUUUAUUACAGGAUCAAUAAAUUCAAUUCAGACAGAUUUAAAUUAUAAAUACAUAGAUACAUACCUAUUGAUAGUUUUGAGGAUGUAAUAAUUUUUUAUUUAAGUAAAAUAUCAUAGAAACAAAUAUUUCCGAUAAUAGUUCAGGGACAUCCUAUGCUAAAGUCAAAUUAUAUUUUACUUUUUUUAUUUAAAAAAGUUUCUAUACAUUAGAUUUAAAAAUUAUCUAUUUUUACUAUUAAAAAUUAGUCUUUAUACUUCAAUAUGAGUUAUAUGUGAUAUGUCACAUGAUGUUGUAUGGAUAUUCUCCCAUCCAUCUUAGAUUUUAAUAUUAUAAUUAAAUGAAUUUUUAAUAAAAAUAGGGGUAGCUAAAGGGUUGGUAGGGGCCCCGAUCCCUUAAAAUAAAAAAAAUUCAUUUAAAUCUUUUAAAAUUUUAAAUUAAUAAAGAUAAAGAUUGCACUGUGACUCUCUUAUAAAUAAAAAUUCGAUUUAAUUCUUUAAAAAUAAAAAAGAUAUACUAUUAAAAUUAUAAAAUUAUAUUUUUACUAUAAUAAAAAUUAUAAUUUAAUUUUAAUUUCUAAAAAAAUUUUCACUUCACCCUAAAUAUAAGAAAUCAAUUUACUUUUUAACUUAUUAUAUAAAAACUAUUUUAAAGAUACAUUUAUUUAAUGUAUAGAAAUUGAUUUACAGAAGAGAUAGAUCCACAUGGAAAGGAGAAGGAAAACACACAGAACUGUAAGGCAAGGAUAGUAAUAAAGAACAAUCUAGAAAUCGUGAUUCAUACACCUCCAAGCAUAUUACGCGACGUUUACAGCAAAACCGAGUCGUUCGAUCGUUUGAUGAUCAUCAGGUCAAGUUGACUAAAGAGUUGAAGUCGUCCGAUAUGGGGCCUGCCUGCCCAUAACACACGGCCACGUCAAAGAAACAAAUCCAAACCAAUAAAAUCAUGCCACGUCUCAACAAACCAAAUCAUUAGCCGUUAGAUCCUCCACGCUGGCGCCAAAAACCAAUUAACAUAAUCUUUUCCAUCGCAAAAAACAUUGCUAAACUCCCCCCCACCUAUUUAAGAACUCCCAAGCCUGCACUGAAGGCAAAGCUACUAUAUUUCAAAAAAAAAAAAAAACAAAAAAAAACAAACAAAGGUAGCCUAAGCAAACUAUGAGGAAGUGGGCGAUCCCUUCCGCUUUGGUUCUUCUUUGCCUUCUCAGUCUCCUAUCAGAUCAUGGUAAGCUUACGCCACUUUUCCUUUUUAUUGUUUUUUUUUAUUUCUUGAUUGUGAAAUGCUGAAUCCAGAUCUACACUUGUUUCAGGGAGAAAAGUACAAGCAAAUGCCGAGGAAGGAGCUGUAGAUCCUCCUAAAGUCGAGGAAAAGAUCGGCGCUGUGCCUAAUGGCUUACAAACUGAUUCUGAUGUAGUUAAAAGGUUAGCAUAAUUUUUGUUUUGGAAUAUACUUUUCAUUACUUUGUUCUUUUUUGUUUACUUGAAUUUUGAAUCCGAAUGUUCUUACUAGGGAAUCGGAAUCCAUCUCUUCGAGAUCGCUUCGCAAUAAUGCGGAGAAGUUUGAGUUCCAAGCUGAAGUGUCUCGGCUUAUGGAUAUCAUUAUCAAUUCUCUUUAUAGCAACAAGGAUAUUUUCCUCAGGGAGUUGAUCUCCAAUGCUUCUGAUGUAAGUUUUAUGUCUUUCCUUUUUUGAAUUGUUUUUAGUAAUUUUUUGGAACUCGAUGUUGAAUCAUUGUUUUUAUUCUAAUUUAAGGCACUGGACAAGAUUAGGUUCCUUUCACUCACAGACAAAGAAGUUUUGGGUGAAGGCGACACUUCCAAGCUGGAUAUCCAGGUCAGUUCUUCAAACUAAAACUUUAUCUUAUUGAAAUUUAAUUACAGAGAACUCUGGUUACCACUUAAUUAGAAUGAGCCUGCUCUAUAAUGUCGUUGCUGAGCCUUAAAAAUGCAAUGAAAUUGCAGAUUAAGUUGGACAAAGAGAAGAAGAUUCUUUCCCUUCGUGACAGAGGUAUAGGAAUGACAAAAGAAGAUUUAAUCAAGAACUUGGGAACAAUUGCGAAAUCUGGAACUUCUGGUAACUAAAUCUUUAUAUUUGAUAUUGCAGAAGUAGAGUUAUGUUUCAUUAAGUAUAGAUUACAUAAACUGAAGUUAUUAUUAUUAUCUUUUUUGUGCAGCAUUCGUUGAGAAAAUGCAAUCCAGUGGAGACCUUAAUCUGAUUGGGCAGUUUGGAGUUGGGUUCUACUCUGUAUAUCUUGUAGCUGACUAUGUCGAAGUCAUUAGUAAACACAAUGAUGACAAACAGUGAGUCUUCUAGCUUCAAUGUAGUUCUUAUGGUAAUGUUUGACUGAUUGUUGAACUAUUAUUUGGUUAAUAUGUUUUACUCUUUAGGUAUGUAUGGGAAUCGAAGGCGGAUGGGGCAUUUGCAAUUUCCGAGGAUACUUGGAAUGAACCACUUGGACGUGGGACUGAGAUUAGAUUGCAUCUUAGGGAUGAAGCUCAGGAGUAUUUGGAGGAAAGCAAAUUGAAGGUUAGCAACUUGAAUUUUGCAUGUUUACAUAGCCUAUUCUUUGGGUAUGCUGAUUUUCAUUUGUGAAAUAUUUUCUAUUAUGGUACCAUCCUUUGAAAUGUUAUUUCCGUGAACUUGUAAUUUGAUGUAUUGACUUAAACUUGGCCUUUUGAAGAUAUGCUAACAAAGCAUGCUGUGUUUCUCAUCUGCAGGAGUUGGUGAAGAAAUAUUCUGAGUUCAUCAACUUCCCCAUCUAUAUCUGGGCAAGCAAAGAGGUUGAUGUUGAGGUGCCUGCAGAUGAAGAUGAGUCAAGUGAUGAGGAGGAAACCUGUAUGUAUUAGCUAGCCUGUUAAUGUUUAUUUAAAACUUGUCUUUUUCCUUAAUGCUGUAAGAGUAGGCAUGUUUUGAUUAACUGAUUAUAGUUUUUGGUUUCCUUCUCUUUUAUUUUCACAAACAGCCGAUAGCGGCUCUUCCGAGGAAGGAGAAGAUGAAGAUGCUGAGAAAAGUGAGGAUGAUGAUGCUGAAAAGAAAUCAAAGACAAAGAAGGUGAAGGAAACUACUUAUGAAUGGGAACUUCUGAAUGAUGUUAAAGCCAUAUGGUUGCGCAGUCCAAAGGAGGUGACAGAUGAAGAAUACACGAAAUUCUAUCACUCUCUAGCUAAGGUAAUUUUCCAUAUAUUUUCUAGCUCCAUACUACCGAAAGCAUUAUAGAGAAGUUUCUAUCACUUAUAGAUGCAUAUUUCUGCUUCUCUGCAGGACUUUAGUGAUGAGAAGCCCUUGGCCUGGAGCCACUUCACUGCUGAAGGUGAUGUCGAGUUCAAGGCCGUUUUGUUUGUGCCUUCUAAGGCUCCUCAGGAUCUAUAUGAGAGUUACUAUAACACCAAUAAAGCCAACUUGAAGUUGUAUGUUCGACGAGUUUUUAUCUCUGAAGAAUUUGAUGAGCUUUUGCCAAAGUAUCUUAGCUUCUUGAAGGUAAUAGAAGACAUUCCAAGUUAUUUUAGUUGACUUGAAUCUUCACUAAUGAGUUUUCUGAGUUGUUUUUUAUUGUUUACCUGUUGAGCAGGGUCUUGUUGAUUCUGAUACUCUGCCUCUCAAUGUGUCACGAGAGAUGCUGCAAGCCCACAGCAGUUUGAAAACAAUCAAGAAAAAACUCAUCAGGAAAGCCCUUGAUAUGAUUCGUAAAAUUGCCGAGGAGGAUC
RNAcentral lists this long non-coding RNA (6631 nucleotides) under Gossypium barbadense (sea-island cotton). Its description in RNAcentral is "long non-coding RNA (GBAR_LNC004844)". Lineage: Eukaryota; Viridiplantae; Streptophyta; Magnoliopsida; Malvales; Malvaceae. The record is from RNAcentral.